Molecule: long non-coding RNA, 474 nt
Filed under: Capsella rubella
Lineage: Eukaryota; Viridiplantae; Streptophyta; Magnoliopsida; Brassicales; Brassicaceae
Description: long non-coding RNA (CRUB_LNC003896)
Source: RNAcentral
CUCAUUUAACACAUAUAUGCAUUAACUUUACUAAUAAACAAACAUAUAAAUACAUAAAAUUAUUCUAGAAACCGAAGCCUUUUUUAUCGUAUAGGAAGCAGAACCUACCAUGUAUAACGAUCUUUCCGGAAAAUGAUAUAACUUUUAUUUGAUCGUGAAGGAGGCAGAGCCUGGCAUAUAUCUAACGACCAAUCCGGAAAUAAGGUAGUUAUAUAUUUGAUCGUAAAGGAGGCAAAGCCUACCACUUGUUACAAUCAAUCCGGAAAAAUGCAUACUCUUAUGAUGUCUAUAAUAUUUAUGUUCUAUAAACAUAAAAUAAAAUAAUAUAAAUUUUACUUACCUCGUAAAACCUCUGGCGGUAAAGACAUCGUGCUGAUAACGUGUUGUAAACUUUAUCUUUAUAUAGGUGAUGAAGAUCAAACAAGAUAAUAAACAAAGAGAAAAUUAGAACUAGAGAGAAUUGAAAAGAUCUCA